UACGUAGGGUGCGAGCGUUAAUCGGAAUUACUGGGCGUAAAGCGUGCGCAGGCGGUUUUGUAAACCAGAUGUGAAAUCCCCGGGCUUAACCUGGGAAUGGCAUUUGGGACUGCAAGGCUGGAGUUUGGCAGAGGAGACUGGAAUUCCUGGUGUAGCAGUGAAAUGCGUAGAUAUCAGGAGGAAUACCGAUGGCGAAGGCAGGUCUCUGGGCUGAAACUGACGCUCAUGCACGAAAGCGUGGGGAGCAAACAGG
RNAcentral lists this ribosomal RNA (253 nucleotides) under uncultured bacterium. RNAcentral's name for it is "partial 16S ribosomal RNA". It matches the Rfam family "Bacterial small subunit ribosomal RNA", at positions 524 to 776 of the family's 1533-position model. The record is from RNAcentral.